RNAcentral lists this ribosomal RNA (253 nucleotides) under uncultured bacterium. Its description in RNAcentral is "partial 16S ribosomal RNA". It matches the Rfam family "Bacterial small subunit ribosomal RNA", at positions 524 to 776 of the family's 1533-position model. The record is from RNAcentral.
UACGAAGGGGGCUAGCGUCGCUCGGAAUCACUGGGCGUAAAGGGUGCGUAGGCGGGUCUUUAAGUCAGGGGUGAAAUCCUGGAGCUCAACUCCAGAACUGCCUUUGAUACUGAGGAUCUUGAGUUCGGGAGAGGUGAGUGGAACUGCGAGUGUAGAGGUGAAAUUCGUAGAUAUUCGCAAGAACACCAGUGGCGAAGGCGGCUCACUGGCCCGAUACUGACGCUGAGGCACGAAAGCGUGGGGAGCAAACAGG